This is a long non-coding RNA of Sapajus apella (tufted capuchin), 107 nucleotides long. RefSeq lists it as uncharacterized. Lineage: Eukaryota; Metazoa; Chordata; Mammalia; Primates; Cebidae. The record is from RefSeq and is a predicted model, not a curated record. The transcript has 3 exons.
UGAGGUCAGGAGUUGGAGACCAGCCUGGCCAACAUGAUGAAACCCUGUCUCUACUAAACAUACAAAACUUUAGCCAGGUGGUGUUGCAGGGUCCUGUAAUCCCAGCA